GAAGUACUUGGUUCUGAUGCAAUGUUGGCGGCUGCCUCGUGAUGACACAAUGUAGGAAAUUUCCGUUAUGUGGUAUGAUAUCUAGCAAGGUGUAAAUAGAGAAAUUUGGGGUGGAAGCCUUUAUAAGGCUUUCUGAACUUAGUUGGAGGAGUAUCAAGUUUUGAUGACGCUGGUUUCUUAUACACAACUCAAGUGCAUAGACCUGUGAAUAUGGGUGUAAGCCCUAUCCGGUGGUGGUAGAAAGAAGAAGUAGCAAAAGAAGGUGCCAGCAGCUGCGGUUAGUCCUGAUUACAAGCUUCUGUCAACAGAGGAAUGGCUAAAAAGAUGGUUAGGAAGUAAGAGAGAUCUCGUUAAGCUGUGGUUGACUAAUUCUGUGGGGGAGAGUUGAAAUUCAAAGAUCCCGGGGAGAAGUUCAUAGAAGCCAUGAUUCUGAUGCCAUGAAGUUUAAAAUAUAAACGGGGAUUUGGUACCCCCUUAUUUUUAAAUGUUAAAUUGCGUUUAAUUUUAGUGCGCUGCCUGGGGACUACGAGCAAUUGCUUAAAACUCAAAGAACUUGGCGGUGUUGGAUACCAUUCAGGGGAACUUGACGCUUAAUCUGAUGAUCCGCGUAUUACCUUACCCUUCAUUGAAAAAUCAGGCUGUAUAUCCCCGUCUAAAGUCUUUAGUUUGAGCUAGUUAAAAUAGGCUAAAUAAUUAUAUUGGUUUCUAGGACAGGUCGAGAUGCACCUAAUGGAAGGGGGUUAGUUGAGUUACAAUUGCUUAAGAGUAGUGGAUAGAACUUGAAAUAGGUUUGAUUGAAAGAGGACUUGACAGUACAGCUAAAUCAGCACGUUAGCUAGAAAAGUUGAACCCCAACGCGUACAAAUCGCCCGUCGCCCUCUCUGAAAGUGGAGGUAAGUCGUAACAUGGUAGGGGUAGGGGAACCUGUUCCUUAGAUAUA
This 940-nucleotide ribosomal RNA is filed under the name Atrina pectinata. Its description in RNAcentral is "12S ribosomal RNA". The stretch from base 152 to 940 matches the Rfam family "Microsporidia small subunit ribosomal RNA". Lineage: Eukaryota; Metazoa; Mollusca; Bivalvia; Pterioida; Pinnidae. The record is from RNAcentral.